Molecule: long non-coding RNA, 142 nt
Organism: Limulus polyphemus (Atlantic horseshoe crab)
Lineage: Eukaryota; Metazoa; Arthropoda; Merostomata; Xiphosura; Limulidae
Exons: 3
Source: RefSeq, a predicted model, not a curated record
GGUGCCCCUCAGUGGCACUGUGGUAUGUCUGCGAACUUAUACUACUAGAAACCAGGUUACGAUACCCGUGGUGGGCAGAGCACAGAUAACACUUUGUGUAGCUUUGUGCUUAAUAACAAAACAAAUAAAUUAAUCUUACACU